CUGCUAAACCAAAAUUAUCUCCACUUUGCGUGCCUCACCACUGUACCUCAUACAAACAACUCUCAAUGCUUCAUUCCCUCUGAGAACCACACACCGUUCUUCUUCUUCUUCUCAUAUCUCCAUCAUUCCUUCUUCUUCUUCUUCUUCUUCUUCUUCUUCUUCUUUCCAUCUUUUUCAUCGCUCGAAUCUCUUCCAAGUUUUCAUCUCAAUGUUAAUUGCAAUCUGAAUCAUUUCUCGGAUAAGCUAGUGUUGAUUUUGAUUGAAAUCUGAAUCGCGCUCUAGUCAUCAGAUCUGGAGCAGGGGUUUAGUGUUGGGAAUGGUGGUGUUUGUUUUCGUCUUCGUAUUUGUCUCUGUAGAUGAUGUUGUUGUGCUCACCGAAGAUAACUUUGAGAAGGAGGUUGGUCAGGACAGAGGAGCACUUGUUGAGUUCUACGCUCCUUGGUGUGGACACUGUAAAAAGCUUGUCCCUGAAUAUGAAAAGCUUGAUUCCAGCUUCAAGAAAGCCAAAUCUAUUUUAAUUGGCAAGAUAAAUUGUCAUUCAAGGACCUUGCUUCAUCCCUUGUCAAGGGUAGUCUAAGAGAGCAACAAGUCAACCUAAAUCUCCUUAACAUGGCAAUGCUUGGAAGUCACAUGUUGACAAAUAUUGGAAGAUACCUCAUACCUCUUGCAGAGGACAAAAAUUUGAUUCCAAGUCUUUUGUCUCUUGUUGAGCAGGGUAGUGAAAUUCUAAAAGGAAAGGAACUUUUCUUUGUGGCUCUACUUUGUAAGCAUGGUAGGAGGUGGUUUCCACACUUCUUAGCAGUUCAUUGUUUAAACACAAAGUGAUUACAAUUCACGUCCUACGGCAGCUGGCCAAUCUAAUUAAACUCAUUGAGACACCGUUUCAGCUUGACAAUAUUUAUUGAGGACAACCAAACUGGUUCGGAGAUCACAAAAGUUCACAAAAGUAUUUAUGCAUUCUUGGAUUGGUGUGACACUCUUCAAAUCUAUUACAGACACUAAUACUCCUUCUGCAGCAUGACUUUCCUUAACUCCUGCAAAAAUUGCCUUAUUCAACUCUCGACAAUUAGUUGUAGUGAUUGACUACUCUCAAUUGUUUCUUUUUUUUCUGCUACACAUAGGUCGCAGUGCAGACGAGGAAGAAAAUAAAUGUGACUUGAAGGACUUUACAUGGGAGGGAAAUAUUGAGAGCAUGCUUUUUGUCGAACAAGAGUUGCGGGAAUUAGCUUCACUAAAGUGGAACAAAGCAAGCUGCACAUAGGUUGAAGAUUAUAUUUGGAUUAGCUGGUCUGAAAGCUACUAAGCUUCAUGGAAAUCUUACUCAAGCCCAGCGCCUUGAAGUAUGUUUCUUAAAUUAAUGAAUUGGCAGUAAGGUUUGCUUAAUAUUUAUAUUUGUGUUAUGCUUGGAUUUUUUUGCUCAUGCUUGGUAGGCUUUGGAACAAUUCAGGAAGCAAGAAGUUAACUUUUUAUUGUUCUAUUUGCUUAGAAUUCUGGGAUGUCUUGGAUUACAAUUUUGUGUGUUUACUUCACAUUAUUGUUUAAGAAAUAGUACUUUCUAAUAGUAGUAUUAUAUUAUGUGGCUUUGAAUCUUCCAUUUAUUCUCUGCAUUUUCUCAUUCCUAAGAUUUUCCAUUUAAAUAUAAUCAUGCUCUUAUGAAAUGGGCAGGUUGAAAACAUAAUUAUUCAUAAGGAAGAGAUCUUUUCUCUCCCCAAAAGAACCUGGUUUGUAACAGAAAUAGAAAAGAAGGUUGCUGCAAAAGCAACAAAAGUAAAAUUUCUUGUUUCAUUGUUGUGAUAUUCCUCAAAUUUGAUAUGUAUUAUUGUCUCACAUAAUAAGAACGUAAUUUUUAUUAUUGUACCUGUUAGGAUAUAUAUUCAAACUUGUUUCAUGCAUUAUUCAGUAAUUGCAUGAUGAAUUUUUAACCAAUGCAAAAAAAAUUGCCAAGAAAGUGUAGAAAAUUGGAAGCGGCUAGAGAGAAGUUUGAAGAUGAAGGAGAUGAGGACAAACUUGAUUGUUAAUUAAAAAUUGAAAACUUUGCUUCAUUCUCUCUGCUGUAUUAUUGUAUUGCAUCUGUGCUUGGCUCUAUUUAUUUACUUUUGAUCAUUAACUAUGUGCUGAUCAUUGAUGUAACAUAGAAUUGUAGUAUUUGUGUUGUUUAAAUUUGUAUUAUGUUUUAUUACUUUUCAAGAGAAC
Arachis duranensis is the source of this 2193-nucleotide long non-coding RNA. RefSeq lists it as uncharacterized. NCBI's taxonomy places the organism in Eukaryota, Viridiplantae, Streptophyta, Magnoliopsida, Fabales, Fabaceae. The transcript has 6 exons. The record is from RefSeq and is a predicted model, not a curated record.